AGAGCAGCUUAAAGUGUUGAAGUCUAGUGACGGGCCACAGGAAGUGCUGUGAGAGCGAAGCGCUGCUAGGACCAUACAACUUCCCCAAACUUUCGCACUCUUAAUAGGACUACAUUACAUCUACUGACCUCGUUUAAAAAGUCGACUGCGCUUGUUCAAGGAAAGAAGAGUCAAAUUGUUGAAUCCAAAGGAAGACUUUGUGCAAUUGGUGGUCUUGCAAGAACUUUGACAACAACAGAGAUCUACAGUACCAUCCACCCCAUAACAGUGCUACAAGACCACACCUCAUUUAACAAUAUAGACCUCUACCAUGGAAUAACUCAUUCGUGAUGCAGCAAGUCAUCUGAAGUACAAAAGCAAAAUUCUGCAGUUACACAGAAUAUGGCUGUAAAACCAAUGGAGAAAAAAUGUUUACAUGCAACCACCUUGUAAGCCCACUUAGUUCUGCAGUUCACUUGCAUUAAACUCCUUAAAUUAGUACUCCUGGGCUGUAUUAUAAUAAGAAAAAGCAGAGGUAUUGA
Molecule: long non-coding RNA, 521 nt
Organism: Pygocentrus nattereri (red-bellied piranha)
Lineage: Eukaryota; Metazoa; Chordata; Actinopteri; Characiformes; Serrasalmidae
Source: Ensembl